GGGGGCGCAUGGGUUCGACAGGGGAGGUAUGCUACAGGAUUGCAAGCUGAGGUGCCACUAACCUCAUGAAACCAGUGGCAAAAUAUAACUGGCGAAGAACCAGCUUUAAUUGCUGCCUAGUUAAUUAGGCAACACAUCCAGCCUGGCCUCACCUCAAUGGGUUGGGAUUGGGUGACGUUUAGUUGGGGUGCCAUCAUCCAGACGUCGAUAAGGGUGAUGAAAGAAAUAUCGACUGGCCUGGGUAAACUCGGUCGGCAGAGGUUGGCCGGGCAAGAUAAAAGAGCUGACUAAGCUUGUAGGAUAUUCUGGGUAGCUUCUCUUGGACGGGGAGUUCAACUCGCCCCCGCCUCCACCA
Molecule: transfer-messenger RNA, 355 nt
Filed under: Chloroflexota bacterium
Lineage: Bacteria; Bacillati; Chloroflexota
Description: Chloroflexi bacterium (groundwater metagenome) transfer-messenger RNA
Rfam family: transfer-messenger RNA
About the family: Bacterial tmRNA, also known as 10Sa RNA or SsrA, is named for its dual tRNA and mRNA-like properties. Its role is to liberate the mRNA from a stalled ribosome.
Source: RNAcentral